CUCCUGGGAAGAUGGCGCUGCACUUCCAGAGUUUGGCUGAGUUGGAAGUGUUGUGUACUCAUCUCUACAUAGGGACUGAUCUUACACAAAGAAUAGAGGCUGAGAAAGCACUCUUGGAACUUAUUGACAGUCCAGAAUGUCUCAGCAAGUGUCAACUUUUAUUAGAACAAGGAACAACAUCCUAUGCUCAGCUCCUUGCAGCAACAUGUCUUUCAAAACUUGUCAGCCGAGUCAGUCCUUUACCUGUUGAGCAGAGGAUGGACAUCAGAAACUACAUUCUGAAUUACGUGGCAUCACAGCCCAAGCUGGCUCCCUUUGUCAUCCAAGCUCUUAUUCAAGUCAUUGCUAAAAUCACUAAGUUGGGGUGGUUUGAGGUUCAGAAAGACCAAUUUGUCUUCAGAGAAAUUAUUGCUGAUGUGAAGAAGUUUCUCCAGGGUACUGUGGAACACUGCAUAAUAGGAGUAAUAAUCCUUUCUGAAUUGACUCAGGAAAUGAACCUGGUUGAUUAUUCUAGACCUUCAGCAAAACACAGGAAAAUAGCUACCUCAUUUCGUGAUACUUCUCUCAAAGACGUUUUAGUGCUAGCAUGCUCUCUUUUAAAACAGGUAAGUUAUUUGAUAAUUCAACUCCCUAGUUAGAAUAUUUGGGAAAUUUUAAGAGUUUCAAAAGAAUUUCAGUUGAAUUUUCCCCCCAAUUUUGCCUUUUAAAGAAUUAUUGUGGACAGACUUAUGUAUAGUAAAUUUGCAUAAGUCUGUAAGCAGUUCCAAAAAAUUUACUUCUACUCACUGGGCAUAUGAUAAGGUGAAAUCCAAAGGGAAUCUAAUAACUUAUCUUUAGGCAGUAGUUUCAUUGCCUUCCCAGUGUAGAUUCUUUAAUUAUAGAAGCUAAUUGAGUAUUAGUUUCUUUAUCUGCUUGCUUAUAUUUUGAUAGGAUGCAGAUGAAAAAUGAAAUGACAAUAUUUUCCUGAUUCAUCAACUAUCAAAAUUUAUUCAUAGUUUAGCCAAGAUCGUUGACUUUAACAACUUCUUUGGGAAAUAGUAUUUCUCCAUUUGCUACUUAGUGCCCUAUUGAAUAUUAGUGAUAGCAUGAUUCGUAAUGAUACUGUAUUCUCUUGUAUAAUAUAGGGACUCCAUCAUGCUAUUCAAGCUUGAUAAUUGGUGUAAUAUAGCAUUUCUGACAGUAUGCUCCAAUAAGCACUAGUUUCCAAUUAUUUCAAUUCUUUGGUAUAGUAACAUGACAACUGCCACACUAUGUCAGACCCAAAGACCUUCUAUUAUCUUAAAAUUUUUCUUUUAACACAGAAAAUUUUAAUAUACACGAAAGUAGAUAGAAUAGUAUAACCAGUUGACCUGUCAGCCAGUUAAACAGUAGCAACCCACGGCCAAUCUUGUUUUCUCUCUAUUCCUGCCUACCUACUUCUUUUUAUAUUACUCUUCAAGCAGAAUCCCAAAUUUCAUAUAAUUUCCUCUAUAAAUAUUUCACAGUAUAUCUAAAAGGUAUAAUUGUUUUUGGUUUGUGUGAGAAUGGGCAUUAUUUUGGAAAUAGGAUUGUUCUCCAGAAGCUUUGUGAGUGUCCUCCAACAUUCAGAGUUCUGAUUGCCUUUAUUAGCUGAAUGUGAUUCUUUUAUGCAUGAAGUUAACCCAGUUUUUCUUGAAGAAGGUAACAUUACUUCCUCAUAUAUGGAACAGUAUAACUUUGUAAACCCUUUUACUAGUUUUCAUUUGACAUUGAAAAAUUAUUUUAAUUCAUGAAGUGUAAAUUUAUUGAUGUAUUUCACAGUGUUUUAUUUGAUUUUGUACUUUUUUCAGGUGUUGGCCAAACCUUUAAAUCUUCAGGAUCAAUGUCAGCAAAAUCUGGUAAUGCAGGUCUUGAAACUGGUCCUUAACUGCCUUAACUUUGACUUCAUUGGCAGUUCAGCAGAUGAAUCUGCAGAUGAUCUUUGCACGGUGCAGAUUCCAACAACUUGGAGAACAAGUAAGAAAAAAGUUUGGUAUGAAGGGUCAUCAACAUAAAGACACAGUAUUAAGCAAUAUAGUUCCCCUGUGUAUAGUUAUCUUUUUGCUAGGAAUUAAAAAAAGAGCUCAAAUGGAUUUGUAACCUGAAGUAGCUGCUGAUGGCUAAUGUUGAAAUGUUUUCUGUAAUUCAUAUUAUAGUAACUUCUAUAUUUUGAUUUAGGAAAAAA
RNAcentral lists this small RNA (2182 nucleotides) under Pongo abelii (Sumatran orangutan). Its description in RNAcentral is "retained intron". Lineage: Eukaryota; Metazoa; Chordata; Mammalia; Primates; Hominidae. The record is from RNAcentral.